RNAcentral lists this ribosomal RNA (253 nucleotides) under uncultured bacterium. RNAcentral's name for it is "partial 16S ribosomal RNA". It matches the Rfam family "Bacterial small subunit ribosomal RNA", at positions 524 to 776 of the family's 1533-position model. The record is from RNAcentral.
UACGGAGGGUGCAAGCGUUAAUCGGAAUUACUGGGCGUAAAGCGCACGCAGGCGGUCUGUUAAGUCAGAUGUGAAAUCCCCGGGCUCAACCUGGGAACUGCAUUUGAUACUGGCAAGCUAGAGUCUCGUAGAGGGGUGUGGAAUUCCAGGUGUAGCGGUGAAAUGCGUAGAGAUCCGGAAGAAUACCGGUGGCGAAGGCGACACCCUGGACGAAUACUGACGCUCAGGUGCGAAAGCGUGGGGAGCAAACAGG